This 74-nucleotide transfer RNA is filed under the name Candidatus Omnitrophota bacterium. Its description in RNAcentral is "Candidatus Omnitrophica bacterium tRNA-Trp". It matches the Rfam family "tRNA". From Rfam's summary of the family: Transfer RNA (tRNA) molecules are approximately 80 nucleotides in length. Their secondary structure includes four short double-helical elements and three loops (D, anti-codon, and T loops). The record is from RNAcentral. Lineage: Bacteria; Pseudomonadati; Candidatus Omnitrophota.
AGGCGUGUAGCUCAAUUUGGCAGAGCAGCUGACUCCAAAUCAGCAGGUUGGGGGUUCGAGUCCCUCCACGCCUG